CUACAAAGGAAUUGACGGGAACCCGCACAAGCGGUGGAGGAUGUGGUUCAAUUCGACGCAACGCGAGAACCUUACCAGGGCUUGACAUCCCCUGACCGCGUAUGAAAGUACGUUUUCACCCUCGGGUGACAGGGAGACAGGUGGUGCAUGGUUGUCGUCAGCUCGUGUCGUGAGAUGUUGGGUUAAGUCCCGCAACGAGCGCAACCCCUACGUUUAGUUGCUAACGCGUGAAGGCGAGCACUCUAGACGAACUGCCGUUGACAAAACGGAGGAAGGUGGGAUGACGUCAAAUCAUCAUGCCCCUUAUGUUCUGGGCUACACACGUGCUACAAUGGCCGGUACAGACGGACGCAAAGCCGCGAGGUGGAGCAAAUCCUAAAAAGCCGGUCUCAGUUCGGAUUGCAGGCUGCAAUUCGCCUGCAUGAAGUCGGAAUCGCUAGUAAUCGCAGGUCAGCAUACUGUCGGUCGAAUACGUUCCCGGGCCUU
This 486-nucleotide ribosomal RNA is filed under the name uncultured Pelotomaculum sp. RNAcentral describes it as "bacterial SSU rRNA". It matches the Rfam family "Bacterial small subunit ribosomal RNA", at positions 903 to 1382 of the family's 1533-position model. The record is from RNAcentral. Lineage: Bacteria; Bacillati; Bacillota; Clostridia; Eubacteriales; Desulfotomaculaceae.